This 484-nucleotide ribosomal RNA is filed under the name uncultured bacterium. RNAcentral describes it as "partial 16S ribosomal RNA". It matches the Rfam family "Bacterial small subunit ribosomal RNA", at positions 28 to 523 of the family's 1533-position model. The record is from RNAcentral.
GACGAACGCUGGCGGCGUGCUUAACACAUGCAAGUCGAACGGUGACGCUGGAGCUUGCUCCGGCUGAUCAGUGGCGAACGGGUGAGUAACACGUGAGCAACCUGCCCUUGACUCUGGGAUAACCCCGGGAAACCGGAGCUAAUACCGGAUACGAACCGCACGGGCAUCUGCGCGGUUGGAAAGAUUUAUCGGUCAAGGAUGGGCUCGCGGCCUAUCAGCUUGUUGGUGGGGUAACGGCCCACCAAGGCGACGACGGGUAGCCGGCCUGAGAGGGCGACCGGCCACACUGGGACUGAGACACGGCCCAGACUCCUACGGGAGGCAGCAGUGGGGAAUAUUGCACAAUGGGCGAAAGCCUGAUGCAGCGACGCCGCGUGAGGGACGAAGGCCUUCGGGUUGUAAACCUCUUUCAGCAGGGAAGAAGCGAAAGUGACGGUACCUGCAGAAGAAGCACCGGCUAACUACGUGCCAGCAGCCGCAGUAA